Acinonyx jubatus (cheetah) is the source of this 1419-nucleotide long non-coding RNA. RefSeq lists it as uncharacterized. NCBI's taxonomy places the organism in Eukaryota, Metazoa, Chordata, Mammalia, Carnivora, Felidae. The transcript is spliced from 2 exons. The record is from RefSeq and is a predicted model, not a curated record.
GCUUUUUGAACAGAAGUCCCACAUUUUCAUUUUGCAUUGGACCCAGCAAAUUAUGUAGCCAGCCCUGACCAUAGCCAGUCCUCCAUCGUGCUUCCCAGAAAAGGCUGUCCGAGCUCUAGCAGCCGGCCAUACUGGAUCAUGAAGAUAAAGGCACACCCUAGGAAUGAUAGGAUAGAAAGCUGGAAAGAACACAGAUCCCUGAUCGCUGUGGAGCUGCCGGAUGAGCUCUGAACUGCCUCUCACAAGAGAAAAACAGUCCUAUCUAAUUUAUCCUUGAUAUUGUUUUGGAUUUUCUAUCACAUUUAGUGGAAUGUAAUCUCCAGGAUAUUUCACGUGAAAAAUCUGCAUCAUUUUCCACAGGAACCUUCUCAAAUUGGUGUAGUUCACAAAGGAAGACAUUUCUGCUGCUGCUGCAAGUAAGGCAUUUCUCUACCCUUGAGAUGCCACAUUCGUAGCAGCCCCACAGACCUGCCUGUGGGUGGAGGGGCAGGUCUCAGUGUCCACAGACUUUUCAUGGCACAGUUUUCAAGGCAUGGGAGGUGGGAAACAGAGGGUCUUCCAUUCCACAGCUGUGACCUAUUUCUUGUUUUAAAGACCUUCAUCUAGUCAAAUAAGUUUGUAUUUGGGGCGCCUGGGUGGCUCAGAUGCUUGAGUGCCUGACUCUUGGUUUUUGGCCCAGGGGCAUGGGAUCGAGCCCUGAUUGGGCUCCAUGCUGAGUGUGGAGCCUGCUUGAGAUUCUCUCUCUCUGUCUCUCUCUCUCUCUCUCUCUCUCUCUCUGCCCCUCUCCUCACUCACAGUCUCUUUCUCUCUAAAAAAAAUUUUUGCAACAAUUUGUAUUCCUCUAGUCCACAUAAUUUUGACCCAACUUCUUAGUAAUACUCAAGUCUUAGGUUAAUGAAAGAGCACCUUCACCCCCAAUUUCCAACCAGCUCUCUGCCCUGAAUAGCAUCACCAAACUUCUUGAAUUAACUUGACAAUGGAGGGAGCUGGGCCUGAGAGGAUGUCCCCUAAUCUAGGAGCUAACGGGAUACAGGUUGGAAUCUCAGUCCCUGUCAGGCUCCAAUGGACCUGGCAAUCCUUUGGGGAGGAGAGGUGUUGUGGGUUGAAGAGUUCUUGGUGAGUUAAAGACUGAUUCUUGUCAUUGGCUGUGAAUGAACUCAAGGCCACGGGAUGUGAGCAGAAAGUAGGAUGAACUCCGUCUCUCAGAAACAGGCCAAAGACAAAGAAGGCAUAGAAGACCCUUUGAAGCUACUCAGGCCAUUUGGGAGGAAUGUAUGAGUGUACAAUGAGGCUGACUUUCAAAGAUGAAACUAUGACAAGAUCAGAAAUCUGUGUUUUUUGAGCCAAUCUAUGUCUAUCUCUAGAUUUGUUUUUAUCUUUUUAUUCUCAUAAUUUCAUUAAACUAAUGCUUCAUUCAUA